Molecule: long non-coding RNA, 232 nt
Filed under: Trifolium pratense (red clover)
Lineage: Eukaryota; Viridiplantae; Streptophyta; Magnoliopsida; Fabales; Fabaceae
Description: long non-coding RNA (TPRA_LNC007296)
Source: RNAcentral
UGGCAGAGGAAUAUUGUUUAGGUUAAUUAGCUAUAUUGUCUUGUUAUAAGUAGUGUCAUGAACAUCAUCUAGCGGGUUAGGAUAAUUAGUUUGUUUUUGUCUUGGACACAAAAUUUGUCUUGCUUCUUUGUUUGUUUUGUGAAGGAUGGGAGACUAUGUAAUUUGAUGGUAUUUAUUGGCCUUCUUUGUGCCUUUUUAUAUCUUUAUUAAUAUAACUUUGCCUUUUGUAUUA